Molecule: ribosomal RNA, 448 nt
Filed under: uncultured Desulfurispora sp.
Lineage: Bacteria; Bacillati; Bacillota; Clostridia; Eubacteriales; Desulfurisporaceae
Description: bacterial SSU rRNA
Rfam family: Bacterial small subunit ribosomal RNA
Source: RNAcentral
UGCCUACGGGUGGCAGCAGUGGGGAAUCUUCCGCAAUGGGCGAAAGCCUGACGGAGCAACGCCGCGUGAGUGAUGAAGGCCCUCGGGUCGUAAAACUCUGUCUUUGGGGAAGAAAAAAAUGACGGUACCCAAGGAGGAAGCCCCGGCUAACUACGUGCCAGCAGCCGCGGUAAAACGUAGGGGGCGAGCGUUGUCCGGAAUUACUGGGCGUAAAGGGCGUGUAGGUGGCCUGUGAAGUCGAAAGUGAAAACCUGGGGCUUAACCCCGGGCCUGCUUUCGAAACCAGCAGGCUUGAGGACAGGAGAGGGAAGCGGAAUUCCCAGUGUAGCGGUGAAAUGCGUAGAUAUUGGGAGGAACACCAGUGGCGAAAGCGGCUUCCUGGCCUGUAACUGACACUGAGGCGCGAAAGCGUGGGGAGCAAACAGGAUUAGAUACCCUAGUAGUCUCU